CAGUAGCCACGGGAAUACGAAGGGGGCUAGCGUUGCUCGGAAUGACUGGGCGUAAAGGGCGCGUAGGCGGUUCACGCAGUCAGAUGUGAAAUUCCUGGGCUUAACCUGGGGGCUGCAUUUGAGACGCGUGGGCUUGAGUGUGAAAGAGGGUCGUGGAAUUCCCAGUGUAGAGGUGAAAUUCGUAGAUAUUGGGAAGAACACCGGUGGCGAAGGCGGCGACCUGGUUCAUAACUGACGCUGAGGCGCGAAAGCGUGGGGAGCAAACAGGAUUAGAUACCCCAGUAGUCCCUGUCUCUUAUCC
Molecule: ribosomal RNA, 301 nt
Filed under: uncultured bacterium
Lineage: Bacteria
Description: partial 16S ribosomal RNA
Rfam family: Bacterial small subunit ribosomal RNA
Source: RNAcentral